RNAcentral lists this ribosomal RNA (443 nucleotides) under uncultured bacterium. RNAcentral's name for it is "partial 16S ribosomal RNA". It matches the Rfam family "Bacterial small subunit ribosomal RNA", at positions 338 to 795 of the family's 1533-position model. The record is from RNAcentral.
CCUACGGGAGGCAGCAGUGGGGAAUAUUGGGCAAUGGGCGCAAGCCUGACCCAGCAACGCCGCGUGAAGGAAGAAGGCUUUCGGGUUGUAAACUUCUUUUGUCAGGGACGAAGCAAGUGACGGUUCCUGACGAAUAAGCCACGGCUAACUACGUGCCAGCCGCCGCGGUAAUACGGAGGUUGCAAGCGUUAUUCGGCUUUAUGGGGUGUAAAGGGCGUGUAGGAGGGAAUGCAAGUCAGAUGUGAAAACUAUUGGCUCAACCCAUAGCCUGCAUUUGAAACUGUAAUUCUUGAGUGCUGGAGAGGCAAGCGGAAUUCCGUGUGUAGCGGUGAAAUGCGUAGAUAUACAGAGGAACACUCGUGGCGAAGGCGGAUUGCUAGAAAGUAACUGACGCUGAGGCGCGAAAGCGUGGGGAGCAAACAGGAUUAGAUACCCUUGUAGUC